RNAcentral lists this ribosomal RNA (820 nucleotides) under uncultured bacterium. RNAcentral describes it as "bacterial SSU rRNA". It matches the Rfam family "Bacterial small subunit ribosomal RNA", at positions 426 to 1258 of the family's 1533-position model. The record is from RNAcentral.
UAAACCUCUGUCCUUUGGUGAAGAGGAAGAGACGGUAGCCAAGGAGGAAGCCCCCGGCUAACUACGUGCCAGCAGCCGCGGUAAUACGUAGGGGGCAAGCGUUGUCCGGAAUGAUUGGGCGUAAAGGGCGCGUAGGCGGCCCGGUAAGUCUGAAGUGAAAGUCCUGCUUUUAAGGUGGGAAUUGCUUUGGAUACUGUCGGGCUUGAGUGCAGGAGAGGUAAGUGGAAUUCCCAGUGUAGCGGUGAAAUGCGUAGAGAUUGGGAGGAACACCAGUGGCGAARGCGACUUACUGGACUGUAACUGACGCUGAGGCGCGAAAGUGUGGGGAGCAAACAGGAUUAGAUACCCUGGUAGUCCACACUGUAAAACGAUGAAUGCUAGGUGUAGGGGGUAUCGACCCCUUCUGUGCCGCAGUAAACACAAUAAGCAUUCCGCCUGGGGAGUACGGCCGCAAGGUUGAAACUCAAAGGAAUUGACGGGGGCCCGCACAAGCAGCGGAGCAUGUGGUUUAAUUCGACGCAACGCGAAGAACCUUACCAGGUCUUGACAUCCAGUAAAACUUGCAGAGAUGCAUCGUGAGCUUGCUCAUACUGAGACAGGUGGUGCAUGGUUGUCGUCAGCUCGUGUCGUGAGAUGUUGGGUUAAGUCCCGCAACGAGCGCAACCCUUACUUUCAGUUACUAACACAUUAUGGUGAGGACUCUGAAGGGACUGCCGGGGACAACUCGGAGGAAGGUGGGGACGACGUCAAAUCAUCAUGCCCCUUAUGACCUGGGCUACACACGUGCUACAAUGGCCACCACAGAGAGGAGCGAACCUGU